GGAAGUAAAAGUCGUAAUAAGGUUUCCGUAGGUGAACCUGCGGAAGGAUCAUUAAAGAGAAUAUGCCCUUCGGGGUAGAUCUCCCACCCUUUGUUUAUAUUACCUUUGUUGCUUCGGCAGGCCCGUCUUCGGACCACCGGCUUCGGCUGGUCAGUGCUUGCCAGAGGACCCAAAACUCUUAUUAUUAAUGUCGUCUGAGUACUAUAUAAUAGUUAAAACUUUCAACAACGGAUCUCUUGGUUCUG
Molecule: unclassified non-coding RNA, 245 nt
Filed under: plant metagenome
Description: partial contains small subunit ribosomal RNA, internal transcribed spacer 1, and 5.8S ribosomal RNA
Rfam family: Eukaryotic small subunit ribosomal RNA (bases 1-54)
Source: RNAcentral